Molecule: ribosomal RNA, 1372 nt
Filed under: uncultured bacterium
Lineage: Bacteria
Description: bacterial SSU rRNA
Rfam family: Bacterial small subunit ribosomal RNA
Source: RNAcentral
GAUGAACGCUGGCGGCGUGCCUAAUACAUGCAAGUCGAGCGAACGGACGAGAAGCUUGCUUUUCUGAUGUUAGCGGCGGACGGGUGAGUAACACGUGGAUAACCUACCUAUAAGACUGGGAUAACUUCGGGAAACCGGAGCUAAUACCGGAUAAUAUUUUGAACCGCAUGGUUCAAAAGUGAAAGACGGUCUUGCUGUCACUUAUAGAUGGAUCCGCGCUGCAUUAGCUAGUUGGUAAGGUAACGGCUUACCAAGGCAACGAUGCAUAGCCGACCUGAGAGGGUGAUCGGCCACACUGGAACUGAGACACGGUCCAGACUCCUACGGGAGGCAGCAGUAGGGAAUCUUCCGCAAUGGGCGAAAGCCUGACGGAGCAACGCCGCGUGAGUGAUGAAGGUCUUCGGAUCGUAAAACUCUGUUAUUAGGGAAGAACAUAUGUGUAAGUAACUGUGCACAUCUUGACGGUACCUAAUCAGAAAGCCACGGCUAACUACGUGCCAGCAGCCGCGGUAAUACGUAGGUGGCAAGCGUUAUCCGGAAUUAUUGGGCGUAAAGCGCGCGUAGGCGGUUUUUUAAGUCCGAUGUGAAAGCCCACGGCUCAACCGUGGAGGGUCAUUGGAAACUGGAAAACUUGAGUGCAGAAGAGGAAAGUGGAAUUCCAUGUGUAGCGGUGAAAUGCGCAGAGAUGUGGAGGAACACCAGUGGCGAAGGCGACUUUCUGGUCUGUAACUGACGCUGAUGUGCGAAAGCGUGGGGAUCAAACAGGAUUAGAUACCCUGGUAGUCCACGCCGUAAACGAUGAGUGCUAAGUGUUAGGGGGUUUCCGCCCCUUAGUGCUGCAGCUAACGCAUUAAGCACUCCGCCUGGGGAGUACGACCGCAAGGUUGAAACUCAAAGGAAUUGACGGGGGCCCGCACAAGCGGUGGAGCAUGUGGUUUAAUUCGAAGCAACGCGAAGAACCUUACCAAAUCUUGACAUCCUUUGACAACUCUAGAGAUAGAGCCUUCCCCUUCGGGGGACAAAGUGACAGGUGGUGCAUGGUUGUCGUCAGCUCGUGUCGUGAGAUGUUGGGUUAAGUCCCGCAACGAGCGCAACCCUUAAGCUUAGUUGCCAUCAUUAAGUUGGGCACUCUAAGUUGACUGCCGGUGACAAACCGGAGGAAGGUGGGGAUGACGUCAAAUCAUCAUGCCCCUUAUGAUUUGGGCUACGCACGUGCUACAAUGGACAAUACAAAGGGCAGCGAAACCGGGAGGUCAAGCAAAUCCCAUAAAGUUGUUCUCAGUUCGGAUUGUAGUCUGCAACUCGACUACAUGAAGUUGGGAUCGCUAGUAAUCGUAGAUCAGCAUGCUACGGUGAAUACGUUCCCGGGUCU